This 253-nucleotide ribosomal RNA is filed under the name uncultured bacterium. RNAcentral describes it as "partial 16S ribosomal RNA". It matches the Rfam family "Bacterial small subunit ribosomal RNA", at positions 524 to 776 of the family's 1533-position model. The record is from RNAcentral.
UACGUAGGUGGCAAGCGUUAUCCGGAAUUAUUGGGCGUAAAGCGCGCGUAGGCGGCGGGAUUAGUCUGAUGUGAAAGCCCCCGGCUCAACCGGGGAAGGUCAUUGGAAACUGUUUCGCUUGAGUGCAGAAGAGGAGAGUGGAAUUCCAUGUGUAGCGGUGAAAUGCGUAGAUGUAUGGAGGAACACCAGUGGCGAAGGCGGCUCUCUGGUCUGUAACUGACGCUGAGGCUCGAAAGCGUGGGGAGCAAACAGG